RNAcentral lists this ribosomal RNA (478 nucleotides) under uncultured organism. Its description in RNAcentral is "partial 16S ribosomal RNA". It matches the Rfam family "Bacterial small subunit ribosomal RNA", at positions 329 to 798 of the family's 1533-position model. The record is from RNAcentral.
ACGUACACUCCUGCGGGAGGCAGCAGUGGGGAAUAUUGCACAAUGGGCGCAAGCCUGAUGCAGCCAUGCCGCGUGUAUGAAGAAGGCCUUCGGGUUGUAAAGUACUUUCAGCGGGGAGGAAGGCGAUAAGGUUAAUAACCUUGUUGAUUGACGUUACCCGCAGAAGAAGCACCGGCUAACUCCGUGCCAGCAGCCGCGGUAAUACGGAGGGUGCAAGCGUUAAUCGGAAUUACUGGGCGUAAAGCGCACGCAGGCGGUCUGUCAAGUCGGAUGUGAAAUCCCCGGGCUCAACCUGGGAACUGCAUUCGAAACUGGCAGGCUAGAGUCUUGUAGAGGGGGGUAGAAUUCCAGGUGUAGCGGUGAAAUGCGUAGAGAUCUGGAGGAAUACCGGUGGCGAAGGCGGCCCCCUGGACAAAGACUGACGCUCAGGUGCGAAAGCGUGGGGAGCAAACAGGAUUAGAAACCCUGGUAGUCCCAU